UACGUAGGGUGCGAGCGUUAAUCGGAAUUACUGGGCGUAAAGCGUGCGCAGGCGGUUUUGUAAGCCAGAUGUGAAAUCCCCGGGCUCAACCUGGGAAUGGCAUUUGGGACUGCAAGGCUGGAGUUUGGCAGAGGAGACUGGAAUUCCUGGUGUAGCAGUGAAAUGCGUAGAUAUCGGGAGGAACACCAGUGGCGAAGGCGGCGACCUGGGCCAAUACUGACGCUGAGGUGCGAAAGCGUGGGGAGCAAACAGG
RNAcentral lists this ribosomal RNA (253 nucleotides) under uncultured bacterium. Its description in RNAcentral is "partial 16S ribosomal RNA". It matches the Rfam family "Bacterial small subunit ribosomal RNA", at positions 524 to 776 of the family's 1533-position model. The record is from RNAcentral.